GGCCCCUUGUGAAGAAAAGAUGGGGGGUCUGGCCUGCCCAGUGACAUGAUGUUAAACGGCCGCGGUAUCCUGACCGUGCGAAGGUAGCGUAAUCAUUUGCUCAUUAAUUGUGGGCUGGUAUGAAUGGCUUGACGAGGGUGCAGCUGUCUCUUUGCAAUUAUAUGGAAAUUAUUUUUUGGGUGAAGAAACCCAAAUGUGGCUGGGGGACGACAAGACCCCAUCGAGCUUUAGUGGAAUUUUAGAAAGCGCAAACAUAUUGUGUAAGUUGUGGUGUCUGAAUGAAUCUUUGAUUGGGGCGAUCGAGAAGUAGGAAAAACCUUCUGUUUUAUUUGAUGGCUUGUUAGCGGAAGAUCUGGCUUAUUGUGCAGAUAGAAAGAAUAAGUUACCGUGGGGAUAACAGCGUAAUCUUCUUGGAGAGUUCGUAUUGAGAAGAGGGUUUGCGACCUCGAUGUUGGACUAAGAUCUCCUGAGGGCGCAGAAGCUUUUAAGGGUUAGUCUGUUCGACUAUUAAAAUCUUACA
Molecule: ribosomal RNA, 520 nt
Filed under: Diodora graeca
Lineage: Eukaryota; Metazoa; Mollusca; Gastropoda; Lepetellida; Fissurellidae
Description: partial 16S ribosomal RNA
Rfam family: Bacterial large subunit ribosomal RNA
Source: RNAcentral